AGUGAACGCUGGCGGUAGGCCUAACACAUGCAAGUCGAACGGCAGCACAGUAAGAGCUUGCUCUUACGGUUGGCGAGUGGCGGACGGGUGAGGCAUACAUAGGAAUCUACUUUUUCGUGGGGGAUAACGUAGGGACACUUACGCUACUACCGAAUACGAUCUACGGGUGAAAGCAGGGGAUCUUCGGACCUUGCGCGAUUGAUUGAGCUGAUGUCGGAUUAGCUAGUUGGCGGGGUAAAGGCCCACCAAGGCGACGAUCCGUAGCUGGUCUGAGAGGAUGAUCAGCCACACUGGAACUGAGACACGGUCCAGACUCCUACGGGAGGCAGCAGUGGGGAAUAUUGGACAAUGGGCGCAAGCCUGAUCCAGCCAUACCGCGUGGGUGAAGAAGGCCUUCGGGUUGUAAAGCCCUGUUGUUGGGAAAGAAAAGCAGCAGGUUAAUACCCCGCUGUUCUGACGGUACCCAAAGAAUAAGCACCGGCUAACUUCGUG
This 492-nucleotide ribosomal RNA is filed under the name uncultured bacterium. RNAcentral's name for it is "partial 16S ribosomal RNA". It matches the Rfam family "Bacterial small subunit ribosomal RNA", at positions 29 to 507 of the family's 1533-position model. The record is from RNAcentral.